This 3250-nucleotide long non-coding RNA is filed under the name Sus scrofa (pig). RNAcentral's name for it is "lncRNA (ENSSSCG00000057411.1)". The record is from RNAcentral. Lineage: Eukaryota; Metazoa; Chordata; Mammalia; Artiodactyla; Suidae.
UUCAGCACAGCUGGGUAGAAGUCUUUCUCUGCAUUAAGGGUUAAAGAAUGAAUUAAUGAAGUUUUCUUUAGAUAAGAUAUAAACUUUAUUGUAGAUGUUCCUUUUUCUCCCCCCCAACUGUAUCAUGUAGCACAGAUAGACUGAUUUAAAAGGUAAGUAUCAGCCAAAGACAGAUUUGGAGCAUAUAUGGGGAGAUAUGAUCUAGUCAGUCUCUGUGUCUUUUUUCUCACCUCUCAAAUUGAAUAUAUUAAAUGCUAUGAAUUUUAUCCUCUGAAUACAAUAUUAAUACUUUAAGUUUAGAUAACUGGCUGGGUAUUCUGUGAGUGAGUGUAACUGGAAUGGGUAUUGUUAUCUCUACUUGAAAGAAGAAACUUUCAUAAUCAGCUUCUGGUAUUUGUAUCAGAAGUGAUCAGACUCUUGUUGAAUUCUGAGAUUUUCUCAUCUCUGCAUGAUGAUAGAGUGUAAAAUACUAGAGCAACUGACUCUUCUAAUAAUUGUGCUUAAGAAAGGCACUAAGGUAAUAGAGUUUUCUUUUUCUUCUUUUUUUCUUUUCUCUUUCCCUCUCUCUCUCUUUCUUUCUUUUGUGCUUUUUAGGGCCACACCUGCAGCAUAUGGAAUUUCCCAGUCAGGGGCUGAAUUGGAGCUUCAGCUGCUGGCCUAUGCCACAGCCACAGGAUGGUAGAUCUGAGCCACAUCUUCGACCUACAGCACAGCUCAUGGCAAUGCUGAAUCCUUUAACCCACUGACUGGGGCCAGGGAUCGAACCCACAUCCUCAGGGAUACUAAUCGGGUUCAUUACUACUGAGCCACAAUGGGAACUCCCAUUUUUUUUGAAACAGAGUUUUUCUUUUCUUUUCUUUUUCUUUUUUUUUUUUUGUCUUUUUGGCAUUUCUUGGGUCGCUUUCGCGGCAUAUGGAGGUUCUCAGGCUAGGGGUCGAAUCGGAGCUGUAGCCACCGGCCUACACCAGAGCCACAGCAACACGGGAUCUGAGCCGAGUCUGCAAACUGCACCCCAGCUCACGGCAACACCGGAUCCUUAACGCACUGAGCAAGGCCGGGGAUCGAACCUGCAACCUCAUGGUUCCUAGUCGGAUUCGUUAACCACUGCGCCACAACGGGAACUCCAAAACAGAGUUUUUCUUAAGGCUGCCUUCACAUGUGUAAAAUAAUUGAGAUACCAACAUAUAUCCUUGGUUAAAAUGCAAUGUAAAAAAACUUAUAUAGGUCAUGUUAUUUCUUCUCAGUGUAUAAUAAAAAGUGUUUUUAUUUAUUUAUCACAUCCCCAAACGCAAUUUCUUCAUUUUCCUCCACAAUGGUCACUUCUUAACAAUGGUUGUUAUGUAGAGGUGUUUAAAUAAACAAGAGAGUAGAGUUAGAAAAAGAAAAUAACUGAAAAAAAUGAAAUAUUUAGAGGGGUAUGAUUGGUUUACUAUACUCAGGGCCUAAAAUGAAGUCACUGGGUCUCCACCUUUCUCUCCAUUUUCUCCUAUGGAAUCUGUUAUGGACUAAAUUAUGUCCCCUAAAAUUCAUAUGUUAAAAUUCCAACCCCCAAUGUGACUGUAUUUGGAGAUAGGGCCUUCCAGGAGGUAAUUAAGAUUAAAUGAGGUCAUGAAUACAAGGUUUGUCCCCCUCUUGGAUAUGAUGGCUCAAGAUUCACAGUCUGAAUUCGUCAGCCUCUGGAACAAAAAGAGCAUCUUCCCAUGUAGUUUGACAAAAACUUCAGGGAGUCUCAGGCCAGGCUGGAGAACUGAGUCGUACCAUUCCCACCAGGAGAGCCACAGUUAUCUUGAGCUGGGGAGGGGUAAUUCUCCAAAGGAAGGAACCAAACACUAUUCCCAACGAGCUUGGGCAGGAGAAAAAUUAUUGUAGUUGGUUGGGGAGGAACGGUUAGAGGGCUCUAGCUUCUAAUUCAGGGUUUUUAUUUGACUAAACAGGCCCUGAGAAGGACUCGGGAAAAGCAAUGACUUCAUUCAAACACACAGGGGGCAAGACUGAGAAGACUAUGUGAUUGAUCAGAGUUUUUCCAGAUGAUGCAGUGGCCCCAGGGACCCAGAAACCCGACCAUCUCUAUACGACCAGAUGUUGCAAAGUAAAUAACAAUUCAGUUUUGCUUUGUGAUUAAAGUGAUAGAAAUACUAUAAAUAUUUCCAAAGAACUAAUAGGGAAGAAAUUCCAAGUCCUUUAGGCCUUAAACUGCAAAGGUUGUCUAUAUUCAACUAGAGGUCUUCCAGGCUCAUUAUAUAAGAAAUCUCUCCUUCAGGCAGAGCUUGAAUGUUGCUAUAGCAACCAGGCUCACACUAGGAAGACAGAGGGAAAGGCUCUUGGGAGAAAGCAAAGGAUACCUUUGGUCGCUGGUGAGCCUGAUGCUAGAUGUUCCCUGAAGUUCACUCAUCAGCUCUGUGUGCAAGAGAUGCAAACAAGAUUGACUAGGAGCAUAAAGAGCUUGGGUUCAAGCCUGGCUCUCUGCGUCCUUGUGGUUCUGGGCCCUCUCUUCUGCUCAGUGAAGGGGAGCUGAGUCCGCUGAGAGGUAGGCAGGGGUGGUCUGCAUGUCCCUCAGCAGCAUCCUUCGCUUAUUGCUCUUCAUUAUUUUACUGCAGCUUCCGUGGGAAUCAGGGUUGGGAGGAGAGAUAGAAAAGAGAUCCAAGAGAAGAUUUCAGUAAAGCUGCACUGAAAUGUGGCAUCCAUUGUCGAUGAGAAGUGGACUCUAGAGUCAAGAGUAAGCAAGAAAUUCAGUCAAUGGGUUGAGGGCCGAACACAGAAAAAUGACCUGAAGAACUUUGUAAAUACUAUUGGAUGGGGAUGUCAUGUAGGUUAGGAUAUGAGAAAGCAGACAAAUGCGGGAAAUUUAAAAGCAAAUAUUGAAAUUUUCCCAGGGCAUCUUUAACUCUAGCAUCCACCCUUUGGACUUCUUUUCCAGGAUCUUCCAUACAGUGCCCACUACCCAGGAUGGUCUUCCCAUCUUGAUGACACCAGCCUGUCCUCGACUUGCAUUCCUUAAGAGCUCAUUAAGGUAGUAGUUACCUAGUCUAUGUUCCAGAGGAAAAGUCAGAACAUAUUUUCCCACUAGAGAACACAUUCAUAAUUUAACAAUAAUUUUUCUGUAUCUGGAUAAUUUUUUCAUUUUAUGGACCUGAAGGAUAGAUGCUGCAUGGGCUUUUAGUCAAAAAGGUUUGAGUGCAGAUAGUUCUCGAUGACUCAGUGGGUUGAGGAUCCAGAGUUGUCACUGAAGCAGCUCAGGUCACUGCUAUGG